AGCGAACGCUGGCGGCAGGCUUAACACAUGCAAGUCGAGCGGGCAUCCUUGUGGUGUCAGCGGCAGACGGGUGAGUAACGCGUGGGAACGUGCCCUUCGAUUCGGCAUAACUCAGGGAAACUUGAGCUAAUACCGGAUACGUUCGAGAGCAGAAAGGUUUAUCUGCCGAAGGAUCGGCCCGCGUCUGGUUAGCUAGUUGGUGAGGUUAUGGCUCACCAAGGCGGCGAGCAGUAGCUGGUCUGAGAGGAUGAUCAGCCACACUGGGACUGAGACACGGCCCAUACUCCUACGGGAGGCAGCAGUGGGGAAUAUUGGACAGUGGGGGUAACCCAGCUCCAGCCAGGGCGCGUGAGUGAUGACGGCCUUAGGGUUGUAAAGCGCUUUUGUUCGGGACGAUAAUGACGGUACCGGAGGAAUAAGCCCCGGCUAACAUCGU
RNAcentral lists this ribosomal RNA (436 nucleotides) under uncultured bacterium. RNAcentral's name for it is "partial 16S ribosomal RNA". It matches the Rfam family "Bacterial small subunit ribosomal RNA", at positions 29 to 506 of the family's 1533-position model. The record is from RNAcentral.